Molecule: long non-coding RNA, 3140 nt
Filed under: Mus musculus (house mouse)
Lineage: Eukaryota; Metazoa; Chordata; Mammalia; Rodentia; Muridae
Description: long non-coding RNA chr16:43479891-43483031
Source: RNAcentral
GUCCAGAAGGAUCAAACUCAAGUUGUCAAGCUAAACACAGCGUUUUUAACCCUCUGAGUGAAUAAUUUUCUUAAUUUUUGAAAGUCCUUAAAAAAAUAAAAUAAAAUAAAAAAGAAAGUCCUUGAUUACAAGUUAGAAAUCCAAUACAGUACUAGGUGUUGGACUUCAGUUUUCCAAAAUGUAAGUUGUUGUGGAAUUUUGAAAAUUCUAAAUAUCUGAAAUUUGGGUAGAUUGGUUACUACCAUCUGUGAAGCACAUAAUCACACAUGCACACAUAAACAAUCAUACAUAUGCACACACACACCCACAAUCACAAUGUAAAAUAUGUUUCCUCCUAUGAGUCAUCAAUAAAAAGGCUUGAGAAUCAUAAAGAUCUGUAGAUCAAGGUAAGAUCUGCCCCGAUUGGCAUUUAUCUACCCUUUGCUUAAAAUUCAAGAGUAGUGAGACUAGACUCCCUGAACGUGACAGCCUUCUCAUAACUGACUCACAACUCUUCAUCUCAGCUAACACUUCAUUGUGUUUCCUCAGUUUUCAAAUAUUACACACACACACACGUGCACACAUCACAUUGUACAUGUAAAAGUGAGAGAAGAAAUUUCAAGGUCAGUUUUUGCUUGGCAGUAAGCACUUUUGCCCACUGAGCCAUGUCACCAGCCUGGCCUCCUCACCACUGCAGUGCCUGAAGUAUUAUAUAUUGUAUUCUCUGUGGUUUAGUCUACAAGCUAAGGGAUCAAACUGGCCUAGAGCACUCGGGUGUCUUGAAGCUCCAGCCAGAGGCCUUUAGAAAGCAUACUAGCUGACUGUCAGGAUGCUCUUGGGCCACCCUUUGCUCUCACAUGGAAACACGCCCGCUAGCUGUGCUGUAAGUGAUCCUUGCAGCAAGUAUGUGCAGUAGUUGUCCUAGAGCAUCGGCUUUACGUCAAUGCUUAAUACGACACUCAGAGUUAGGUCUGUUUAAAUGCCUGCUACUUCCUUACUCCAUAAGUACCUCAAAACACAGUAAUAGCAUCUCUUUCUAUGCAAACCUCUGUACAUAAAAAGGUUUACAUUUUAAAACAAACAUUUUUUUUGAGCUUUAUCCAAAUUCAAAAAAAGCAUCUGAAAAUUUUAACAGCUGAAAAACACUUUCUCCUUGCUGGGAAAACUUAAACCUUGCUAGGUUUUAUGCAACAACAACAAAAAAAAAAGGCAAGAAAGAAAGACUUCUGUGCUGAGAAGCAGCGUGAGAAAUCUCAGCAUGAGAGGUUGUUGGAAUUGUUUUUCUUCAUAGAGCUAAAACCAGUCCUUGGGUUUAAAGUGAUGCCACAGUAUACAUACGCUUUGUCAGGAACAAAGGAUUUUUUCAUCAAAUCUAAUUUCAAGGGCAUCUUGAAUAAAAAAUAGAAGGGCUAGAGAAAGGCUACUUCAGCGGCGAUCCAGUGUCUAGAAGCAGAGGUUGAGCACAUCGUUGUAUCAACAAGGUCUGGAGACACUGCUAGCUCUGGGUGCUUGUAGCUGCCCAUAAACCCUGAAGCGGCCUAUUUUAUUAUUGUCUCGCUCAGGCCUUACUUAGCCCAGAGUGUCUCACAAGGGAAGCACUGCUCUGGGAUGGUGCGCUGGACUUUGUUUCUGUUUGUUUCAGCACUUCAGUAAAUGGUCUCAAGAAAUGGUCUGUUAUCUGCCAUCAUGACCUGCAUGCAUUUGCUGAACAGUUUUUCGAAUAAAACAAAAUUCUGUGGCAGUUUCUAGAAACCUGAACCAUUUUCAAGACAAUAUCCAAUGAGAAAUGCCCAGAGACAUAUCCAUAUGAAUGCGUGAUGAGGACACACAUAUGUUACUCUGGAUUCCUAAGCUCAGGACGAUGAAACGAGGCUAGACAAUACAAACAGGAAGAUUGAACUUGUUUAUGUAUUUAUAACCCAUGCUCUGCUCUUAACACUAUACCUAUUUGGAAGUGACUAUAAAAUAGACCCACAUGUGUGUUUAACAAAAUAAUCUUGUUCCUCUUAAUAGUCCCUAAGGGAUAAAAAAUAACACAAAUUUGGGCUUAUUUGUUUGCGUUUCAGGCAGCACUGUUGUUGUUUUUCUGUCUUUACUUUUUGAGACAGACUGGCUAUAUAGAUCAGGCUGACCUGUUACUCAUAAUAUAGCUUAAACUGGUCUUAAAUUCACAGUUAUUCUCCUGCCUCAACCUACCCAGUGCUACAUAGAUGUAAAUGACCACACCUGACACAAAGCAUGAAGUUUUUAACAUCAUCAUGGCUAGUUGUAGGAACAGUGACCAAGGCAGUCAUGGGUGGGAGGAGUCAUGCAGCAGCAUACCUCUCGUACAGACACGGUUUUUAUAAGGCCUUCCUGGAAGACAAGCUUAGACAUUUCAAGACCUCAGAAAAUUUUUUCUGCACCUUCUGUGCUCCAAAUUGAGUUGAGUUUGCAUCGUGUUUCAGUAUAACUGAGUAGCAGGCUGGCAAAUUCCCUGCCUUCCUAUUCACCAAAAUCCAAAAUAGAACUCACAAAAACUCCUUCCUUCUCAUCCCUCUUUUAAAAACACCCCACUGUGUCCCCCCAGGGAGGAAGAAGCAAAAAAAAAAUUCCAGUAAAUAGAGCCAGCCCUGAAAGAGAAAUCCCCAGCUGUAGCUCUAGCACUUUGCUCAGUACUGUGAGCUUGCUAGAGCUGGCACAUUUUUUAUAAUACAGAUGCAUAAAUGUCUCUCUGAGGCAGAGGAAUCCAGUGUUGCCUGAUGCCUUGGUCUAAGUAUAUUGCACAACCUAGAACAAAAGACCCCGUUUUCCACCUCACUUUAUAUAUUUUUAAUUGUGACCUUCUAUAACUGAUUUUACAUAAAUUUUGGAGAAAACAACCUUUGUUGAGACUUUCACAGCAUUCUUCCAAAUGGAGGCUUUCAGAUAUUUACAGUGAUAUAUGUAAAUUUGGACUUCUUUAAAAAUGCAUAUUUGUUUAAUAAUGACUUAUUUCAGAAAAGGUUAUGUGAUAUAUUAACUAUAAAUAGUUGUUUAAAACCAAGCUAUGUGUUAAAAUUUUGAGACCAUGAGCUAUAUGUACAUUUUUAAGGUAUAGCUUGUGUUCUGAGUACCCUUUUUCAUUUCUUCAAAAUUCAUUUAUAGAAUAAAUACUUAAAUAGAUAACACUGAUGAAAGUG